CCUCAAGAUCCUGUCCAUCCUUCAAGUCCUGUGAGCCUCUUCUGGUUGCCAUCAUUUCCUCCUCUCUGCUGCCAGUAGACAGAUGGUGUGUUCUCCACUCCCUUGUAUCUGAAUAUUUGUGUUUUUGUCUGUAUCUCUACGAGAUUGUAAGUUCCUUGAGGAAUAGGGAAGGACCAUAGUUCAUCAAGUCUUAUAUCACCAGAAUGUCUCCAAGAUGGACAUAGACAUGGAUGGGAUCCUGAAAGACAGAAUCCUCAACCCGUCAGUUUAGCCCUACUGGUUUUGAGGUAGAAAUGCAUGGGGAACAUGGCCAGGUAAUAGUACACUAUUGAUUACAACAAGGUGUUGGCCAAACCCCCAUGUGAAAUCCAUAGCGUGGUGAGCUGGCUUCAUUUGUGUGAAUCACAGUUUCUUUGCUUACAGAAAUGCUCAGGGACUCGACUAAAAACUGGCUUCCUUGAUCUUUUUCUCUGAGGCCCACAACCAAGCCUUGACCACACUGUGUGGAGGAGAGCUGUGGCCUGUCUCAUGGACGACUCCGUGGGAGUAUUUUCCCUGGAUCUGGGGCUUUUUCACAUGCUUGGGAAGUCACUGUGUGAGAAGAGCUGAGCACACAGAGCUCUGCACUCCCCUGUGGGGCUGGAAGGGCAGGUGGGAGCCACAGCUGGCUGGGGGCCGUGAGCCUGACUGUGCAGACUCUGCUGUCGGUGAGGGCAUGGAAUCCUGAAGGCAAAGGGUAUUCAAGUGUGUGUGUUUUGGGGUUGGAGAGUGAGAGAAUCAUUAUUGUUACGUGAAUUAUUCUGAAGUCCUAUGUGGGGCGGUGGGUGGGGUUGGUGGGAGAGACUGAAGGAGUGGGGACGGUGCAUAUGGGGCUGAGAUAAGACAGUGGAAGGGGAAUGGGAAGCUAGGGACUGAUGGGAAAGGCAUUAAGAUGAUACAAAGAAGAAGUAAGAGGUGCUUGAUUUGGGGGAGUGGUAGUGCUAUGAGAUGAGAAAAGUCAAGCCUCAUAACGGAACUGGGGAAAUCAGAAAUGGGAGCUCAUUUGGGGGAAAGAAUGUUAAUUUGAAAUAUUCUAGCAUUUUGGAUUUUUAGGGGGUGUUUUGAAAAGGGGCUGGUUGGAACUAUUUCCAGUGCAGAGAUCAUCCUUGCCUAUCAGAGAACUGUAAUUUGGGACAUGUGAAUCUUUUACCCAUCUCUUCGAGACACCUGAAGACAGAGCUAAGCCUUCUGUUUCCAGUGAUCAGGGGCUGGAUGAAGCCAGCCUCAGGAUAAUAAACCAGG
RNAcentral lists this long non-coding RNA (1281 nucleotides) under Sus scrofa (pig). Its description in RNAcentral is "lncRNA (ENSSSCG00015074715.1)". Lineage: Eukaryota; Metazoa; Chordata; Mammalia; Artiodactyla; Suidae. The record is from RNAcentral.